This 66-nucleotide transfer RNA is filed under the name Sigmella schenklingi biguttata. RNAcentral describes it as "tRNA-Pro". The record is from RNAcentral. Lineage: Eukaryota; Metazoa; Arthropoda; Insecta; Blattodea; Blattellidae.
CAGGGAAUAGUUUAAUUAAAAUAUUAAUUUUGGGGAUUAAUGAUGAAGUGUAUUCUUUUUCUCUGA